UACGAAGGGUGCAAACGUUGCUCGGAAUCAUUGGGCGUAAAGCGCACGUAGGCGGCCCAGCAAGUUGGAUGUGAAAUCCCUCGGCUUAACCGGGGAACUGCAUCCGAUACUGGAUGGCUUGAGUUCGGGAGAGGGAUGCGGAAUUCCAGGUGUAGCGGUGAAAUGCGUAGAUAUCUGGAGGAACACCGGGUGGCGAAGGCGGCAUCCUGGACCGACACUGACGCUGAGGAGCGAAAGCCAGGGGAGCAAAGCGGG
Molecule: ribosomal RNA, 255 nt
Filed under: uncultured bacterium
Lineage: Bacteria
Description: partial 16S ribosomal RNA
Rfam family: Bacterial small subunit ribosomal RNA
Source: RNAcentral